This 447-nucleotide ribosomal RNA is filed under the name Klebsiella pneumoniae. RNAcentral's name for it is "partial 23S ribosomal RNA". It matches the Rfam family "Bacterial large subunit ribosomal RNA", at positions 416 to 867 of the family's 2925-position model. Lineage: Bacteria; Pseudomonadati; Pseudomonadota; Gammaproteobacteria; Enterobacterales; Enterobacteriaceae. RNAcentral also lists the same sequence under 2 other names. The record is from RNAcentral.
GGCGGGACACGUGGUAUCCUGUCUGAAUAUGGGGGGACCAUCCUCCAAGGCUAAAUACUCCUGACUGACCGAUAGUGAACCAGUACCGUGAGGGAAAGGCGAAAAGAACCCCGGCGAGGGGAGUGAAAAAGAACCUGAAACCGUGUACGUACAAGCAGUGGGAGCACCUUCGGGUGUGACUGCGUACCUUUUGUAUAAUGGGUCAGCGACUUAUAUUCUGUAGCAAGGUUAACCGUAUAGGGGAGCCGCAGGGAAACCGAGUCUUAACUGGGCGUUAAGUUGCAGGGUAUAGACCCGAAACCCGGUGAUCUAGCCAUGGGCAGGUUGAAGGUUGGGUAACACUAACUGGAGGACCGAACCGACUAAUGUUGAAAAAUUAGCGGAUGACUUGUGGCUGGGGGUGAAAGGCCAAUCAAACCGGGAGAUAGCUGGUUCUCCCCGAAAGCU